Molecule: ribosomal RNA, 491 nt
Filed under: uncultured bacterium
Lineage: Bacteria
Description: bacterial SSU rRNA
Rfam family: Bacterial small subunit ribosomal RNA
Source: RNAcentral
CAGGACGAACGCUGGCGGCGUGCCUAACACAUGCAAGUCGAACGGAGAGCAUAUGAAGAUUCGGUACGGAAUGCGUCUAGUGGCGAACGGGUGAGUAACACGUGGGCAACCUGCCCCAGACUGGGGGAUAACAUUGUGAAAACAGUGCUAAUACCGCAUGACAGGGUUCCGGGCAUCCGGGACUCUUGAAAAGGAGAAAUCCGGUCAGGGAUGGGCCCGCGUCCAAUUAGCUAGUUGGUGGGGUAACGGCCCACCAAGGCGACGAUUGGUAGCCGAACUGAGAGGUUGAUCGGCCACAUUGGGACUGAGACACGGCCCAGACUCCUACGGGAGGCAGCAGUGGGGAAUAUUGGGCAAUGGGCGAAAAAGCCUGACCCAGCGACGCCGCGUGAAGGAUGAAGGUCUUCGGAUUGUAAACUUCUUUGAUCAGGGAAGAAAGAAAUGACGGUACCUGAAAAACAAGCCACGGCUAACUACGUGCCAGCCGCGGC